GGCAGCAGUGGGGAAUCUUGCGCAAUGGGCGAAAGCCUGACGCAGCAACGCCGCGUGCGGGAUGAAGGCCUUCGGGCUGUAAACCGCUUUCAGCAGGAACGAAAAUGACGGUACCUGCAGAAGAAGGAGCGGCCAACUACGUGCCAGCAGCCGCGGUGACACGUAGGCUCCAAGCGUUGUCCGGAUUUAUUGGGCGUAAAGAGCUCGUAGGCGGUUGAGUAAGUCGGGUGUGAAAACUCUGGGCUUAACCCGGAGACGCCAUCCGAUACUGCUCUGACUAGAGUUCAGGAGGGGAGUGGGGAAUUCCUAGUGUAGCGGUGAAAUGCGCAGAUAUUAGGAGGAACACCGGUGGCGAAGGCGCCACUCUGGACUGAAACUGACGCUGAGGAGCGAAAGCAUGGGUAGCAAACAGGAUUAGAUACCCUGGUAGUCCAUGCCGUAAACGGUGGGCACUAGGUGUGGGUUCCAACUAACGGGAUCCGCGCCGUCGCUAACGCAUUAAGUGCCCCGCCUGGGGAGUACGGUCGCAAGACUAAAACUCAAAGGAAUUGACGG
Molecule: ribosomal RNA, 555 nt
Filed under: uncultured Actinomycetes bacterium
Lineage: Bacteria; Bacillati; Actinomycetota; Actinomycetes
Description: bacterial SSU rRNA
Rfam family: Bacterial small subunit ribosomal RNA
Source: RNAcentral